GGGUCGGUAGCUCAGCUGGUAGAGCAGCGGNNGCGGACUUUUAAUCCGUUGGUCGCGAGUUCGAAUCUCGCCCGACCCACCA
RNAcentral lists this transfer RNA (82 nucleotides) under Thiobacillus sp. RNAcentral's name for it is "tRNA-Lys". It matches the Rfam family "tRNA". Rfam says of the family: Transfer RNA (tRNA) molecules are approximately 80 nucleotides in length. Their secondary structure includes four short double-helical elements and three loops (D, anti-codon, and T loops). Lineage: Bacteria; Pseudomonadati; Pseudomonadota; Betaproteobacteria; Nitrosomonadales; Thiobacillaceae. The record is from RNAcentral.